UAACGCGUGAGGAACCUGCCUCAAAGAGGGGGACAACAGUUGGAAACGACUGCUAAUACCGCAUAAGCCCACAGCUCGGCAUCGAGCAGAGGGAAAAGGAGUGAUCCGCUUUGAGAUGGCCUCGCGUCCGAUUAGCUAGCUGGUGAGGUAAUGGCCCACCAAGGCGACGAUCGGUAGCCGGACUGAGAGGUUGAACGGCCACAUUGGGACUGAGACACGGCCCAG
RNAcentral lists this ribosomal RNA (225 nucleotides) under uncultured bacterium. RNAcentral describes it as "partial 16S ribosomal RNA". It matches the Rfam family "Bacterial small subunit ribosomal RNA", at positions 111 to 334 of the family's 1533-position model. The record is from RNAcentral.